Molecule: long non-coding RNA, 310 nt
Filed under: Olea europaea (common olive)
Lineage: Eukaryota; Viridiplantae; Streptophyta; Magnoliopsida; Lamiales; Oleaceae
Description: long non-coding RNA (OEUR_LNC007107)
Source: RNAcentral
UGAGUCUUACCUCAACCGCUAGGGCUACAGUAACACUGUAACAGGGUUGAACUCGGAAGCUGAAGGAGAUGUCCAGUGACUCCAGUCGAGCUGUCAAGGCGUAGACUAUAUCAGUAUAUAAUAUAUAUGUAUAGUGUAUACAUUUGUAUUAUGAGAGCCGAGAGAGUCCGAGAGAGAGAUUAGAGAUACCUAGGGUUGAACUUGGAAGUGGAAGAAGGAGUCAAGGAGAUUUCGAGUAAACUGUCGAGGGCCUCGAAACGUCGAGCGAGAGAGACUCGGAGAUGGCACAGCCGCACAUUGGCACUUCAGA